GAUGAACGCUGGCGGCGUGCUUAACACAUGCAAGUCGAACGAUGAAGCCCAGCUUGCUGGGUGGAUUAGUGGCGAACGGGUGAGUAACACGUGAGUAACCUGCCCUUAACUCUGGGAUAAGCCUGGGAAACUGGGUCUAAUACCGGAUAGGAGCGUCCACCGCAUGGUGGGGGUUGGAAAGAUUUAUCGGUUUUGGAUGGACUCGCGGCCUAUCAGCUUGUUGGUGAGGUAAUGGCUCACCAAGGCGACGACGGGUAGCCGGCCUGAGAGGGUGACCGGCCACACUGGGACUGAGACACGGCCCAGACUCCUACGGGAGGCAGCAGUGGGGAAUAUUGCACAAUGGGCGCAAGCCUGAUGCAGCGACGCCGCGUGAGGGAUGACGGCCUUCGGGUUGUAAACCUCUUUCAGUAGGGAAGAAGCGAAAGUGACGGUACCUGCAGAAGAAGCACCGGCUAACUACGUG
RNAcentral lists this ribosomal RNA (466 nucleotides) under uncultured bacterium. Its description in RNAcentral is "partial 16S ribosomal RNA". It matches the Rfam family "Bacterial small subunit ribosomal RNA", at positions 28 to 507 of the family's 1533-position model. The record is from RNAcentral.